Molecule: ribosomal RNA, 421 nt
Filed under: uncultured bacterium
Lineage: Bacteria
Description: partial 16S ribosomal RNA
Rfam family: Bacterial small subunit ribosomal RNA
Source: RNAcentral
AAUUUUGGACAAUGGGGGCAACCCUGAUCCAGCCAUCCCGCGUGCGCGAUGAAGGCCUUCCGGUUGUAAAGCACUUUUGGCAGGGAAGAAAAGGCUCUGGCUAAUACCUGGAGCUUCCGACGGUACCUGUAGAAUAAGCACCGGCCAACUACCUGUCAGCAGCCGCGGUAAUACGUACGGUGCAAGCGUUAAUCGGAAUUACUUGGCGUAAAGCGUGCGCAGGCGGUUCGGCAAGAAGGAUGUGAAAUCCCAGGGCUUAAACUUGGAACUGCAUUCUUAACUGCCGGGCUGGAGUAUGUCAGAGGGGGGUAGAAUUCCGCGUGUAGCAGUGAAAUGCGUAGAGAUGCGGAGGAAUACCGAUGGCGAAGGCAGCCCCCUGGGAUAAUACUGACGCUCAUGCACGAAAGCGUGGGGAGCAAAC